GUGCCUGCUUUGGCAGCACAGAGAUUAAGAGUGGAAAGAUACUGAGGAUGCUUAGUGUGGUCGCUAUGCAUGGAUGACAUCCAGAUCUGCGAAGGGUCCUGUGUUUUU
RNAcentral lists this small nuclear RNA (108 nucleotides) under Marmota marmota marmota (Alpine marmot). Lineage: Eukaryota; Metazoa; Chordata; Mammalia; Rodentia; Sciuridae. The record is from RNAcentral.